AGACUACUACAUAGUUAAGACCUUGUCUCCACAACUCGAUAGAUGGAUGGAUGGACGGACGGACGGACAGCUGGACAGAUAAGACAAACCUGACACAAAGCAAAGGUCAAGCAAGAAGAGAAGUGUCAUCCCACAGAUCAUCAUCACCCGGGCCUCAAACGAGACGCUCAUCAGCUAUGGCAUCCCCGACAGCGAUGAACAGAGAACCAUUCGGGAGCAUGCCGACUGGGGCCCAUACUACCGACACAGGAGCCCCAGCACAAUAGCAGCCUAUGAGGUGCAGAACACAGAAUAAAGGAGAGCUCGCAGUA
RNAcentral lists this long non-coding RNA (311 nucleotides) under Rattus norvegicus (Norway rat). Its description in RNAcentral is "long non-coding RNA NONRATT014376". The record is from RNAcentral. Lineage: Eukaryota; Metazoa; Chordata; Mammalia; Rodentia; Muridae.